UGGGGAAUCUUGCGCAAUGGGCGAAAGCCUGACGCAGCGACGCCGCGUGGGGGAAGAAGGCCUUAGGGUUGUAAACCUCUUUCAGGGGGGACGAAGCCACUCGGGUUAAUAGCCCAGAGGGUGACGGUACCGCCAGAAGAAGCCCCGGCUAACUACGUGCCAGCAGCCGCGGUAAUACGUAGGGGGCAAGCGUUGUCCGGAUUUAUUGGGCGUAAAGAGCGUGUAGGCGGCCAGGUAGGUGGGUUGUGA
Molecule: ribosomal RNA, 249 nt
Filed under: uncultured Gaiellaceae bacterium
Lineage: Bacteria; Bacillati; Actinomycetota; Thermoleophilia; Gaiellales; Gaiellaceae
Description: partial 16S ribosomal RNA
Rfam family: Bacterial small subunit ribosomal RNA
Source: RNAcentral